This is a non-coding RNA of Electrophorus electricus (electric eel), 635 nucleotides long. NCBI's taxonomy places the organism in Eukaryota, Metazoa, Chordata, Actinopteri, Gymnotiformes, Gymnotidae. The record is from RefSeq and is a predicted model, not a curated record.
AGUGCUGACUCACUGUUCGACUGCAGUAGCACAGAACAUCGUGCCAUGGUCCCCAUGGCAACGGGGAACUUAGGAUGCGACUGCAGGGUUGAAGGAGAUCGGUCACGAAAAACAAAAACGGACAGGCAGGCGUGGUCCGGUCAGGUCCAGGCCGGGUCGCCGGCCCCUUCUACCUCUCCUGGGAGGGACAGACGACUUGAAGUGUAUCGCAGGGAUGGAAGCAGGAAACACCUCAAGCCACGUCGGAACAGCCCAAGCCUGGAGUUGUGACGGUGGCCGUUAGUAAAAGGUGCUGUACAGAGCGGGGAAGUUCAGGUCCAACACUAAGGCGUUCAUGGCAUCCUGAAACAGAAGGCAAGACGCAGGGGUGAAGGUCUGACCUCGCUUCAUCAUCUUCUACCCACGUGGACCAAAUGAUUAAACCUUACAAAAGGUGUCAGCAAAAGUGAGCACAAAGCCCCCUGAUUACACUUGGCAGCAGAAAUCACCAAGAGACCCUUAUAUCUGAUUCAGGACAUCACUGGCCAGAGUGGGGUCAGAGCGUAGUCUGGACACUGGACCAUGUCCUGCCUUGAAGCAGCGUGGCACACAGACUGCGGGCACGGGUGGCCCGUGACAGAGCGGUGGAGUCACAG